CUUAAAAAGUUAAUCGUGUGUCGCUCACACUCCGUGCUGGGUCUGCAGCAUGUGCCUGUCUGUUUGCUAUGAGGAAGGGGAUCCCACAUUCCUCCACUUCAUUGUAUAGUUGGAUGGGUUUGCUAUUUGCUGGAGCACUGACUAUUAUUGGAAGAGUUCAUAUCCUGAAAUUCAAGAGAGGGACAUCACAAUUUUCAGAUUUUUCAGGUAAUCAGAUUGUCUUAGAUUGCACAUGUACCCAUGUUCUCAUAACCAACCUGAUGAAAAGGUUAGUCCAAUGCAUUGCAAGUCUGAAAUUCGGAGAACGUAUCCACCCCCUUCUCCUUCAUAAAAUAGAUACAGCUCAAUUUCUGUCUGCCUCCAGUCUUCUGUCUUUCUCUCUCUCCAUCCAUCCUCCACCAAUCGACUUUUACAGAUAUUUAUCUUUCCUUCACUUUGUUAAAUUCAGGUCGGCCUUUGCUAGGGCCAGGUUGAAUGUAUUACCUUCUGCUAUACUCCUAAGCAGGUUUUCUAAAGAUUCUACUGCUUUGGGGUUGUGUUCGUGUGGAGAGGGCAGCCUUGAAACUCAUUCACAUCUUGCUAUAUUGUCCCCUAUAUCGUGAUUCUAGGAGAGAAUGAUUUUCUCCAAUUUUAGAGCAGUUCCCUGGCAGGCCUGACUCCUUUUAUCUUAACUACUGUUUGGCCAACACUAAUGAUGAAGUCACCAAAAUAGUAGCUAAAUUCAUUUAUGGGGCUAUGAGACAGACAUCUUGCCAUGGUUUUCUAUAAUGUAUUUUUAGCUUUAUUUGCAUGCUUGUUUUUACAUUUUUUAUAUUCUUUUUGAUAUUUAUUGCACCUCUGUAUGUUCUUUCUAUCGUUUUUCCUCCUGGUUGGCUUAAGGCUGUAAUAAUAAAAUUGAUUGAUUGAU
Long non-coding RNA from Hemicordylus capensis (graceful crag lizard), 907 nucleotides. RefSeq lists it as uncharacterized. NCBI's taxonomy places the organism in Eukaryota, Metazoa, Chordata, Lepidosauria, Squamata, Cordylidae. The record is from RefSeq and is a predicted model, not a curated record. The transcript has 2 exons.